This 775-nucleotide unclassified non-coding RNA is filed under the name uncultured Prochlorococcus sp. Its description in RNAcentral is "partial 16S-23S ribosomal RNA intergenic spacer; may also contain 16S ribosomal RNA and 23S ribosomal RNA". The stretch from base 1 to 93 matches the Rfam family "Bacterial small subunit ribosomal RNA", at positions 1441 to 1533 of the family's 1533-position model. Lineage: Bacteria; Bacillati; Cyanobacteriota; Cyanophyceae; Synechococcales; Prochlorococcaceae. The record is from RNAcentral.
UUGUGGAGGAGGACGCCGAAGGUGGGGCUGAUGACUGGGGUGAAGUCGUAACAAGGUAGCCGUACCGGAAGGUGCGGCUGGAUCACCUCCUAACAGGGAGACAUAAACUGAUCUUGGAUGUCUUAGUUUUUUAUGCUUAGGCCAAGAUCCUGUCACCUUAGGUCGAUCGGUACCUCAGGUUAAAAGCUCAAUUAGAAUUGAGAAUUCAAUUUUAGAUUGAUAAUUAACAUCAGUUCCUAAACUUGUCUAGGUCACACCCAGCAAGGGUAAUCCUGGGCCAUUAGCUCAGGUGGUUAGAGCGCACCCCUGAUAAGGGUGAGGUCCCUGGUUCAAGUCCAGGAUGGCCCAUUCGGUGUUGGGGGUAUAGCUCAGUUGGUAGAGCGCCUGCUUUGCAAGCAGGAUGUCAGCGGUUCGAGUCCGCUUACCUCCACUGAUCUACCUUCUGAUAACGAACUCGAGGAAGAUUACUUUUGUAUGAUGUGACUUAGAUUUGGUUAGCUGUUUGAACCUAGCUUCUUGUCAUCCCUUUAUUAAUAAGAAAUUAAAUAGAGGUUGAUAUGAUGCUGGGCUCUCUGAAAUUCGAAAGGAUUUCGGAUAAGUUCAGUAGAACCUUGACAACUGCAUAGGUAAGUUUGGAAAGAAUAAAGCAUCUCAUGGAGGCGUUAUUCUUUAAAUACAGAAUAAAUCUGUAUUAUUAGAAUAAUGCUUAAAUUCUUGAGUAAGAGCCGAGACUCUAUAGCGCUUAGCGUUAUAGAGAUAAAUGGUCAAGCUACAA